UGGGAUUUAUGUCUUUGCGGAUCAAACAACACCAUCAUCUUCCACCAUCACGAAUCAGAGCCACAUUCACCUCAUUUACAGGAAGAGUAGUUUAGGUUCUCAUCCAGUGUCCCAAUUGGGUUAGAGCUCAUGAAAUGAAAACCGUGUCCCUUUGUGACAUCCAUCUCCGGAUAAGAGUCAAUUUCAGCUUACAAAUACCGAGUUAAACCGGGUUGACUGGUAUUAGCAAGUGUCUCAUUUUCUAAAUACUUGAAUAAAGUACGACAAUAUUUUGCAUUCCAUGGCUACUUUCACCCCUUUACAUACAUACUUGUCACUUGGAGAAAGCAUGCUCUACUUACUCCAUGCCCUGUUAUGUUAUGCAACCAAUGUAUGUACGAGGUCACAAAUCACACAGCAAAACGGGUUUCCAUCUUUUCUCCGACAACGCACGUCCUAUAAUUUAUUUCAUGGGUGGAUACAAGAUAGCUUUUCAAAACGGAUUGAACCAGAGAGGAAGAAGCAAUGCUAUCAGAUCAGGCAUCGCCACGGCUAAAAAGUCGACGAGAGAUGCAACUUGAAGUUCUAGCGCCUGCUGCUGCUGUGCUCUUCUAAAUGCCUUCAAACUGUUACUACCAUUACCUAACCUUGUACUUCUUCUUCUUCUCCUCUAAAGGAUGAUGAUGGUGGUGGUGGUUGA
Folsomia candida is the source of this 679-nucleotide long non-coding RNA. RefSeq lists it as uncharacterized. NCBI's taxonomy places the organism in Eukaryota, Metazoa, Arthropoda, Collembola, Entomobryomorpha, Isotomidae. The transcript is spliced from 3 exons. The record is from RefSeq and is a predicted model, not a curated record.